CGCCCACUGAACCAUGAAAAUGAGUUCCAAGGUCAGAUGACACUUGCCAGUUGGACCCAACUCGGACAUGUUCACCUUACAAUCAUUCCAUAUACCAAAUAUAGUUGACCUAUUGCACACAGUACUUUAAAAACAGACCCGAACACAACCACUUAACUAUAACCCCUGAACCAUGAAAAUGAGGUCAAGGUCAGAUGACACUUGCCAAUUGGACUCAACUUGGUCAUGUUCACUUUAGUCAUUCCAUACACCAAAUAUAGUAGACCUACUGCACACAGUACUUUAAUAAAGGGCUGCGCUUUAGCGCAUGAUAUGCCCGUUGUUUGAAAGACGACGGGCGUAUAAAAAUGGCAAAAAAGACUACAAUGACAAUGAGGAGCAGCAAGAAGAUAACAGGGAAAGUGAAGAUGGUGAAAUUGACUCUACUGAAAGUUAUGAUCUAAAUGAGGAAGUAGGUGAUGAAAGUAAGGAUUUCAUUGACGACGGGCGUAUAAAAAUGGCAAAAAAGACUACAAUGACAAUGAGGAGCAGCAAGAAGAUAACAGGGAAAGUGAAGAUGGUGAAAGUGACUCUUCUGAAAGUUAUGAUCUAAAUGAGGAAGUAGGUGAUGAAAGUAAGGAUUUCAUUGAUGAUAAAGAUAAAGAUUUCAUUGAUGAUGAGGAGGCCUCUUCUGAGAAUGAAAAUGAGGAUUUUUCUGAUGAUGAGGACAGUGAUUACAGUGAAGAAGACACUGAUGAUUAAACCUAGUUCAGCUUUU
Molecule: long non-coding RNA, 757 nt
Filed under: Mytilus galloprovincialis (Mediterranean mussel)
Lineage: Eukaryota; Metazoa; Mollusca; Bivalvia; Mytilida; Mytilidae
Source: RNAcentral